This 661-nucleotide long non-coding RNA is filed under the name Elaeis guineensis (African oil palm). Its description in RNAcentral is "long non-coding RNA (EGUI_LNC081800)". The record is from RNAcentral. Lineage: Eukaryota; Viridiplantae; Streptophyta; Magnoliopsida; Arecales; Arecaceae.
GGGGUGCUCAAGAGUUGGGCGUCCCUUAACUUGCCAUGUUUGGAUAAGCCUUGACUAGGUGUUUGACCUAGACAAGGACUCUAUCAUACCUCUCUAUAUAAGAUGAGUUUCUUCAUGAAAUUUUAGAAGAUAGAGAUUUGAGAGACCUUUGUGCCAUCCAAAAAUCAGAGAGAAAUACCUUUGGGUCGUGGAGAUAUAAAAGACGCAAGUUUGGGUGUCUAGAGAGAAAAACGUGAAGAAGAAGAGGGUCUUCUUCUAGGGUUUUUAUUUUCAUAUCUUUCCUCUCUCCAUCUUGAGUUUCCUGAGAGCAUCUCAGAUCUGAAACCCCUCCUUCUACUUUCCAUCUUUGGAAGAGUCCAAAUCAAGAAGAAGGAGGCACCUGAUCAACCAUCAAAGAAGGAUCAGCGCAGUACUAGCAUACUGUGCUGAUUUCCUGAAGCAGGACUUCUGAUCGAGAUUCGUGGGCUCGUGUGGAUGACUCCUAGAGGCCGGACGCGUGUGCGGCUUGCAACAUCAUCCUCAAGCCCAGAUCAGCAAGGUUAGAAUGUCUAACUUGCAAGGUAAUAGAUCUGAUCUAUUGUUUAAUACAUACAUUAGAUGUAGUAUAAAAACAUGUUGAUAUGAUCAACAUGUAGUUCAUGCUAUAUUUAUAUAUUUUAAU